RNAcentral lists this long non-coding RNA (3879 nucleotides) under Marmota monax (woodchuck). The record is from RNAcentral. Lineage: Eukaryota; Metazoa; Chordata; Mammalia; Rodentia; Sciuridae.
AGAGAAUCAGAGGUGGGUAGUUCUGCUGCUUAUGCAGCUACCUCCAGGGCCAGGAAAGGUGCUUGGCCCUCUGCCCACAAAAGCAGGGACUAUAAGGAUUUACUCAUAUCCUACAGAAGUGCAUGGGAUGGUGGGAAAACCUGGCUCCCUUCCCAUCGUCCAGCUCCCAAGCAAGGAGAGACCCAGUUGACAGGGCACCUCUGGGAACCAGUGUUUUACUUAUUCAGAACUCAGUCCUACUCUACCUAGAAGGGGAGGGUUCAGGGCUCUAAGAGAGGGCUGGGGUAGAGAGUUGCACCCCUAAUUCCAAGGAGAGAUGAAGAUAUAAUUUAUGUGGGCAGGAAGCAACAACUGAAGAGCUAGGGAGAAGCUGCUGUGGGGAGCAUUUCAGUGGAGUUGAAUAAGAAUUUUGGGGUACAAAAAAGAUAGUCUGAGACUCAAAAAUGACAGGGCAGGUGAGCUGUUAGAAUGCAGGAAAAGCCCUGAGCCUUUGAAUUGCAAAAAUUUUCCUGUGCAAACUGGCCCGUGGCUCUUGCCCUUGGCCCAAGCCCUUGGUCCACACCCUUGACUCAUGUCCUUGCAUGCAAAAUAAUACAAGGACACUGCACAAGUGCUAGAAAAACCGUUGUGAAGUUAUGUAAUUCUGCCUUGACUCCACCUCUGUUUCAGCCUUAGUUACUGUCCCUCUAUAAAUAAUACCACAGACCAAGGUCCUAUCUCUUCCUCUGGAGGUGGCUCAUAUUAUUCCUUGAAUGUGUCUUCCUCAUGUAACCCCCAAAACUUCUCACCCUCAAGAUAGUCCCAGUUAUCCCUUGAAUGUUUAUUUCUUUACCCCCAAAGAUAUUAGAUAGUCUGCAUUCUCCCUUGAAAGUACAUCUGCUUUCCUAAAUAAAUCUGUCUGGAGCAUGCUGAAGUUCUCUUUGUGUCACAUAUCCCUACAUAUCCUAAGUUAAGGUCUCUCUCUCAGUGAACCCCUGAGAUGAUAGAGUGACUGGGCUGCAUAGAAAGUGUCCAUGGGCUCAAAGCUGAAUGUCAGACCCUGUAGAAAUACUGCAGUGUGACAGGCUAUGGCUUUAGAAGAGAACCCUAGAAAACCAGGCUCUGUGGGGAAGUAUGACUGUUGAAUGUUCAAUUUGUUCAACAUUUUCUGAGAGGGUGCAGACUCUGAGGCCCAUGGACAGCCAAGAAAGCCCCUUAAAUGAGAAUAGCUGGGAUAUCAUUGCCUCAGAGCCCACUGUUAAUGGGAAGAGAAAGAUCCCAGAAGCUUUAAGUUUUUUUUUUUUUUUUUAGCAGAAAAAUAAAGAGGAGCAUUGAGAGAAGAGAACCAUCUGUGGAUGUAUGAAACUGACCUGGGCCUAAGAAGAUAUGUGUGGCCCAAAUAUCUGUCUCUGAGGAAAAUGGACAGCAAUCUUCAGAUAAGUAAACUUCCAAUUUGAGCUCAGUCAGAGGGACCACUGGAGACACACAGGCUGGCCAUGUCUGUUGGGGCUGUGGCUCUGCCCUGCAGAAAGUGUCAUGACAAAAGGCAGGCCCAGGACCUGAGCCAACCUGUUGCUAAAUCAAGAUUCCUGAGAUCUCAGCUGGUUACCUUCUGUGAUACUAUAAGGUGUUUUUUUUUUUUUGUUUUGUUUUGGUUUGGGGCACUAGGGAUUGAACCCAGGAAUGUUUUACCAUUGAACUACAUUCCCAGUCCUUUUAAUUUUUUUAAUGUUUUUUUUUAAGGGCCUUGUGCAUGCAAAGCAAGCAUUCUACCAACUGAGCUAUAUCCCCAGCCCUUUUUUUUUUUUUUUUUUUUUGAGAAAGGGCCUUGCCAACUUGCUGAGGCUGACCUUGAACCUUUGAUCUUCCUGCCUCAGCCUCCCAAGUUGCUGGAAUUAAAGGUACAUGCUACUGUGUUGGCAACACUAUGAAAUACAUAUUUGGUCUUCCUCCAGUUUCCUGGCAUACAACUCCUAAAACCUUUGAAAUCUAAAAAGUAAUAAAUGUCUUUUUGCAUGCUAAUGAGCUGACUAAUGGCUAGCAGCCAAGAAGCUUCAGGAUGAGGGAUGGUCACAAGAUGAUAGAUCAAAGCCUGAUUAGAGGUUUGACACUUUCAGCCCCAUCCUCCAAACUUAGAGGAGGGAGAAGGGCUAAAAGUUGAGUUGAUCACCAAUGGCUAAUUAUUUAAUCAGUCAUGCUUAUGUAGUGAGAUCUCCACAAAAACCCAAAAGCAUAGAAUUGGGUGAGCUUCCAGAAUGCUGAACACAUGGAGGGUCCUAGAUGGUGGAGCAUCCAGACAGGGCAUGGCAGCUCUGCAUCCCAUCCUUCAUAUCUUACCCAGUGCAUCUCUUCAUCUGUAUCCUUUAUAAUAAACUAGUACAUGUAAUUAAAGUGUUCCCCCAAGCUCUGUGAGCCACUCUAGCAAAUUAGUCAAACAGGAGGAAGGGGUUAUGGGAACCCUAAUUCAUAACUGAUUAGUGGAAGCACAAUUAAACCAAACUCAGACUUGUGAUUGGCAUUGGAAGUGGGGGGAAGUCUUGUGCAGCUGAACCAUUAACAUAUAGGAUUCAACAAUAUUUCCAGGUAGAUGUGUAAGAAUUGAAUUGAACUACAGAACACACAGCUGCUAUCUGCUGCAGAAAGAUUGAUUGGUUCCUGGUGAGGAGAAAUCCCCAUUUGCAUCUUGGUAACCAGAGGUCACAGAAUUGUUCUGUUUAUUGUGUUGUGAGAGUAAAGUUGUGGGGGGGGAUCUAUGUUUCUUCUCAGACCUUGUGCCUAGUUGUAGCCGUGGCUGGCUUUUUGGCCCCUGUGUCCUAGCCUUUGGGGAUGGAGGCAACAAGCCAAGCCCACACUUGGCCAGGGUGUUAAGGAGUGCAGUGUCCCUGAGGCCAGGGAAAAGGUGACAAAAAAAAUAACUUGUGGCAGAUCUCCAAGAGGGAAGGUGACUUUUUUUUUCCUUUUCCCAGCUAGAGGGAUUGAACCCAGGGAUGCUCUACCACUAAGUUAUGUUCACAGGCCUUUUUAUUUAUUUAUUUAUUGAGACAAGGUCUCACUAAAGUGCCCAGGUUGGCCUCAAACUUGUGUCCUCCUGCUUCAGCCUCCUACAGGUGCAGGAAAGUGACUCUUCUUGGAGUCUUGCUGCUCCUUCCCACAGCAAAGGCCUCCCUUUCACAACCGCCCACUUCAGAGAAGGAUGACCAGCCUAGCCGGGGUUCCUCAAAGACAGCACAAAUGGGAGCAAAAGUGGAGGCAACUGCCUCACAUGCUCCUGAGUCUACUGCUGGGAUUAUUUAAGCAGACUCCAACCCCACUAGAGCCCACCUCGGUGCUGUGGGCAGGGGGAGUAGCAGCUCUAGAAAGUGGUAUACCUACAUACAUUUAAGGAUUAACCAACCAGGAGCUAAAACAGUGCUCACAAGUGUUAUAUAUUAACUCAUUUCAACCUUAGAAAUGUACAAGAAUGGGGGCUGGGGAUGUGGCUCAGCUCGCCUGGCAUGUGUGCGGCCCAGGUUCGAUCCUCAGCACCACAUACAAACAAAGAUGUUGUGUCCGCUGAAAAACUAAAAAAUAAAUAUUAAAAACUCUCUCUCUUUUAAAAAAAACAACUAUGAUUAUUAAAGAAAAAAAGAAAUGUACAAGAAGUAUUAUCUUCAGAAAGGUCAAAGAUAGUUAAUUUCCCCGGAUGGGAGAACAUGUUUUGCCGCCAAUGCCUGAUUUAUAAUAAGUGCUCAAUCCGUGCUGAAGGAAGAAAGUAAAGGAUGGACUUGUCCCAGUAGAUCACCUGGCAAUAAGGGGUGGUGCUGGAAGGGACCUUCAGCCCUCUAACUCAACAGUUUCUGUCCAGGCCCCAUUCCCUUCCAUUCUGGCUGCCCAUUGGAUGAAAGUGGCAGAACUGUUGGG